GGUCCUCCUUCGCAUUCCUGCAAAGGCACUUCUGACUAGUGCCUAAUGCCAUCACUGCUAGAGGCACUGCCACACGAAUGCCACCUGCCCAGUGUUCAAUUUCUCCUAUUCUCAACCCUGCAAAAUCCUUGAGGCACCACCACGUUGCCAUCAGGCUCGUGUGACACGCCGUCCUUCAACAGGAUGUGAAACAUGCCCCAAGCCCUACCUGUAUGUAGUGCUUUGCCACCUGAACUCCAGCGCAGGGCUGAAUAUGCCCCAGGGCACACCAAGUUCCAUCAGGUCCAGUCCUUGGGGGGCAUGCCAAAGAAGAGAUGUAGAUUCCAUUCAUUCCCCUCUUUCUAGUUCCUGCUAAAAAAAAUUUCUUCUCAGAGAUCUUUCCCCAAAUACAAAUAAUUCACACAAAUAGGUCUGCAAUUUUUACCUAGCAAUUUAGCAUACACGGAAACAUUCUAUUUGUAAAUAAAUAAUGACAAAAUAGACUACAGUGAAGGUUAUAACAGGGUUCACUUACCAGAUGUGUGUGGGGCACAGGUAAGAAAGGCGGCGAACCCAGACUCAGGGAAGUAAGGCUGGGAGUGGGUCUGGGAGUCUCUCUGAAAGACGUGACAACAAAGCCAAGAAUCUAAGGUUGAGUGAGAACUAGCGAGGCUAAGUGGACGUGUGAGUGUAUAUGCAGGUAAAAUAAUAUUUGUGAAGGCUCAGAGGGGAGAGAGAGAAGAACACAUUUAUUUAAGAGGUCCCAAUUCUUCCCUUCUUCAAAGAACCAGUUGGAGAUCUUUUAUUAAGCCAUGUCCUCUCACUUCCUAUUCAUCUAUUUAGAAUCUCUUUUUUUUCAUUGAUCACAACCUGUCUUCUAUUGUAAUUAUUUGUAAGCAUAUCUAUCACUCAUUAUUAGUAGAUAAUCCCUUUGUGGAUUCUGCUAAAUUAUUUUUCACAUCCUUCACAUGAAUAACCACAAUGAUUUGCAUGCAGUAGGUGCUUAAUUAAAAGCAACAUGUUUGAAGUGGCUAAGGGUGCUUGCGAUAAACAGACACACUUUUUAUGAACAAACAGUGGCUUGAAGCGAGCCAUGUGACAGAAAGCACACUGGUUCUAGGUAAAAAGGAAAGACUGGGCCAGAUCUUUCUUAUCUGUUGGAAUAAUUACUCACUGAUUAGUGUUACCAGAGUAUUUUUGAAAUAAGGAUCGAAAGAAUAAUCCCUCAGGUCUUUAUAUUUUGCUUCUUAGUUUACUAAUACUAAAUGCCUGAACUAGAUAUAUUUUACAUUAAAAACGAGUGAAAUUGAUGAUUCAUACACAGUAAUAUGACAUAUAGAGAGAGCUUAAAUACUAAUAAUAUACCUGCCACAUUGCUUAAGAAAUGGAACGUGUCUAAGAAUCAUAAUGAGAAGGUUUUUUCCUAACAAAAUGGCAAACCAACAUGGGCUACCGGACUCCUCUCUCAGCUCUGGGGAAAUUUUAGAAGUCAGAACUAAAAUUAUAGAAAAAAAUAGCAUAAUGGACUGGAGGAGACCAAAGUAACAUGCCAGCAUAUGCUGUAACACGUGUUUUAUUAAGAAAAAAUUUAAAUUGGGCCUAAGCUAAAUUCAUCAAUCAUAAGAGCACAUUUAGAAAAUAUGACACAAACAGAAUGAGAAACACUCAAUCUAUCUGAUGGAAAGCAGAAAUGAUGAAAAGAAAAGCAAAGAAAAUAGAGAAAAUGGAAAAUAGUUUUAAAUGGUAUCAGUAUUAUAUUCCAAUAAUAGAAACUACAGUAAGCACAAAUGGGUUAACUUGGCCAAUAAAAGAUAAAGACUCCAGGAUUUGAUUUAAAAUAUUUAACAGCAUAUUCUUUAAAACAAUACCAAUUUUAAACAAUCUCAAAGAAUGUUGAAAAUAAAAGCAUAAGAAAGGAUAUAUAGGCAAGUCAAUAUGAAGGAAGGGGAAGCUGGGCUAACAAUUUUAAAUUUGACAAAAUAGAAUUUUAGGCUAAAAUAAGAAACAAUUAUAUACUUAAUAAAGGAAGAACAGACUGUCUGUAAAGCCCAUGGGGCAUGAGGCUAUAGGAAGAGGAGAGGCUGUAUUAGCAAAGCCCUCGAAGUCCACACUGUGUCCUUCAUUGAACACACCUCCCACCCCACCUCCCCCAGAGGCGACCACUACUCCAAACUGUGGGUUUAUUGUUUCUAAUUAGUUUUCUAUUAUUCCAAAACAAAUUACCAAGUGUAGUGGCUUUAACCGACAUACAUUUAUUAUCUUACAGUUUGUGUGAUUCAGAGGAGCAGGCAUGGUUUUAACUGGGUCCUCUGCUCAGUCUCCCAAGGCUGCAACUUAAGGUGUCAGUGGGACUGCCUUCUCAUCAAAGGCUCAGCAAUGGAAAGUUCCACUUCUAGCUUCUCCAGGUCGUUGGCAGAAUUUAUCUCCUGGUGGUCGUAGGACUGAGGUUCUUGUUUUCCUGCAGACUGUUGCCCUGAGGUCACUCAGCUCUCGAAUGUUGCUUACCAUUGCACACUUUGUCGGAAGCCCUCCUGCAGUAUGUCAGCUUACUUCAGGGCCGGUGGGAGAAUGUCCUGCCUUCGCUGGCUCGUGUGGAAUCUUACAUGAUUCAGCGUGACCUUGGGAGUGACAGUCCAUCCCCUUUGCCAGUUCUCACCGGUUCUGCCCAUACCGCAGGGGAAGGAUUAUGCAAUGGUGUGACUCAUUAAGGGUCGCUCUAGGGUGUGUCUGCUGUUUGCAUUGACUUAAUUUUCAUUAUAUAUGUAUGUAUCCUAAAGAUAGCUAUUAUUUAGUACUUUGCAUAUGCUUUCGCAUUUUAUAUGAAUGGAAUCAUUCUGUAUAUAAUAUUCUCUACUUUGAUUUUCCACUCAUAAUUAUUUUUUGGUUCACCUCUGUUGAUAUGUCUUACUGCAGUCCAGUCAUUUCCGCUACUGUGUGUGUAGUAGUGUAUGAUAAAACUGUCACAAAAUCAAUUUGUCAUUCUCCUACCAAAGAAAAUUAGGCUACUUUCAGUCUUUGACAUUCUGAACAAUGUUGGUAUGAGCUUACUCAUGUUCUUGCUGCCAAUGUAUAAAAAUUUCUCAAGGCUUAUAAUCCAUUCUUUAUACAGUGACAAGAGUAAGUAUUCUUUAAAAACAUAAAUCAAAUGAAAUCCCUGUAGUCAUCUCAUUGCACUUGAAGGAAAUCCGAAGUCCUCACCAUGGUUUACAAAGCCCUGCAUGCCCUGGCCUUUGUCCGUGGCUGUGACUUCUUCUUGAACUAGUCUUACCUUUGCUUGCUGUAUUCCACAAUGGCCUUUUGAUUUUCCUCAAACAUGCAGGGUUUUUCAUUCAUUCUUGUCCUUGGGAUUUUAUACCUUCUUGCUAGAAUACACUUCCUUUGCAGCCUUUGGAUGUUGACUCUGUCUCAUCAAGCAUGAUUCGGUGCAAAUGGUACGAGUGGCCUUCCCCAGCCACCAAACCCAAAGUAGCUUCCCACUCACUCAAUCCCAUGACUCCGUUCUAAUUCUUUCCUAAAAUCUAUCACUAUGCCAGUUUUCCUCGAUUUAUUACUUGCCUGUUAAUCUGUUUAUCUCUCCAUUUUGAAUGGAGUGGCUUGCUAUCUUAGAGCAAGAAUCUUCUGCUGCUCUUCUCUCUAUCCCCAAUACCUAGCCAAGUGUCUGGUACAUAUACAGUUCUCAAAAGUGUUAUGGUAAAUGAACAAAAAAUAACUGCAGUAUCAGAAUUCGCAAAAGCCAGUGGCCUAGAGAUAAAGGCAAAAGAGCAUGAUACAAGUUUUCUACAGACUGCAGGUGGACUCAGAGGAUGUGUCGGUCCAUUGCUCUUAACUUCUGAAGGAAUGUUGCCGAAUGCCAACAGAAAGUUUUCUUUCAGACAGAAUUACGAAGAGAUGGCGUAAUAAUGCUGGAUGAGUGAGUCUGGGGAAGGGUUGGGAAAUGGCUCUCGGAGCCAGUCUGUCAUUGAGCAUUUAGUUGUCCACAGCCUUAGUGGCUCACUAAUUAGCACUGCAAAAAUUCAGGCGAGUGACAGUAGCUCAUAUGCUAAUUCCGCUUUUUGCAGUUACAAUUGCCAGGCAGCUAAUGCUAUAAUUGAUGGACACUGCCAGUUGCUGAAAUGGAUGGAAAUUAAUAUUUAAAUUACCGUUGUUAGAGGUCACAAUCACACUUCAGUUGCAUCUACAAGGAGUGUAUUUAUAUUGCCUCUAUCGAUAAAUUGUCAUAUGAUUUUGGGUGUUGAAUAUUAUAAAUAUAAAUAGGUGCAUAACCUUUUACAUUUUUGUCUGUAAUGUAUUCAAGUUCUAUCCCACCCCAAGCUAACAGCCUUUUAAGGAAAACACAAAGAAAAUAACAUAGCGAAAGAUAUAAUUCCUCAAGAAAAAAAUUACUUGUUCCAUAAAGGACUUUUAUUUUAUCUUGGGACUCUUAUAAUUAUUAAACAUAUGUGAUCAGUUAAAAUAAUAUUUACUUCCUCAUGCUUUAAAGGAAAUGAAACUUUGGGGAACAUAUCUUUUUAAAUAGUGGCAUAUAGCCACCUAAUUGUUUCUAUAUUUGGUAAAAUAGAACAUGAACCUUUUUUUUGUUUUUAACUUUAUGGCUGCACCCCUGACAUUUGGAAGUUCCCCGGCCAGGGGUUGAAUCUGAUCUGCAGCUUCAGCCUACUCCACAGCUGCAGGAAUGCUGGGAAUCAAACCCACACCUCUGCAGUGAACCAAGCUGCUGCAGUCAGAGUUCAGAUUCUUAGCCCACUGUGCUCCAGAACAUGAACUCUUUUUUUUUUUUUCUUUUUAGGGCCACACCCAUGGCGUAUGGAAGUUCCCAGGCUAGGGGUCUAAUCGGAGCUACAGCUGCUGACCCACACCACAGCAACACCAGAUCCGAGCCGUGUCUGCCACCUACACCACAGCUCACGGCAACGCCGGAUCCUGAACCCACUGAGUGAGACCAGGGAUCGAACCCGCAACCUCGUGAUUCCUAGUCAGAUUUGUUUCCACUACUCCACAAUGGGAACUCCCCAGAGCAGGAACUCUUGAAGUGGGAUGCUGUUGUAGUAGUCGAGGAUUUUUGAAAUGAUAGUGCAUCACAGUAUUUAUUUUUAAAACAAUGAUUAGGUCAUAUUCAUUCUGUUGUAGGGAAUACAGUUGGAGUAGACAAGUAGUGCCAGUUUUCUUUUUUCUGGUUCUCUUCAUGUGCUUGCUUCUAAUCAUUUCUUUUGGUUUUUCUCAUGGGCUUGUAUUCUUGGAUCCCACUUUAUUUUCGCUUCUAAUUUCAGACUCAAGCCACACCUCCAUAAAUUCUUGUUUAAAAUGUGGUCUGAGGUAUGGUUGGGCAUGUGUAUCUUAUCAGUUGCUUCUAGUACACAGCCAGAGUUGGUAACCAGUGCUUUAUGCUGUCUCGUUGGUUAGUUCAUUCGCGUCCAUAAUUUGAUAUACUUUUCUGAUGAUUCACAUGUGUAUAUCAUCAGUUCUAAUUUAACCUGAAUUUCACUCGAAUAUGAAAAUGCAUGCUUGUCCCUCUCCUUUGAUAGUGUCAGCAUGCCAUUCCUGAACUCAUCCCCCACCAAGUCUCCUCACUUGCUCCUGCCUAGAAUCCGAGAAGCAAUCAGUUUUUCCUUUGCCUCUCCUACUCUAUUUGAGUACUCAGCAAUACUUGAUAACUGGUCUUUGAAAUGUUUCUCAUGUCUUUUCCUUUAUUCUCACUUGAACUUUCUUUUGUUUACCUAAGAUCUUCUCAUCUUAGCUUUCUUAAUAGUUUCCACAGAUUUCCCUUGUUCAGAUCAUCUUCCCAACUAUUUGAACCCACCCACCUAUCUAUCUGGAAUGAUGUAUUUAAAGCACCAAGGUAACCACACUGAUCACAGUUAAAAUUCUUCAGUGGCAUCUCAUCAUUUACUGGAUUCAGUUCAGGCUUCUGAGCAAAGUUAUUUAAGGUAAUUCCGUGACUGCCUUCUGUCUCCUUUCUCAUUGCCAGAUUCUAUGAUUCACACUUUAGUGUCCAGGAUAUGGAGUUACUUAUAGUUGUCCCUAAACAUCAGGUUCUCCUAGUUCUCCAUGUUUUUGUUCAUUUUCUUUUUUCUGUCUAAAAUUAC
This 6062-nucleotide long non-coding RNA is filed under the name Sus scrofa (pig). Its description in RNAcentral is "lncRNA (ENSSSCG00000053759.1)". Lineage: Eukaryota; Metazoa; Chordata; Mammalia; Artiodactyla; Suidae. The record is from RNAcentral.